This 253-nucleotide ribosomal RNA is filed under the name uncultured bacterium. RNAcentral's name for it is "partial 16S ribosomal RNA". It matches the Rfam family "Bacterial small subunit ribosomal RNA", at positions 524 to 776 of the family's 1533-position model. The record is from RNAcentral.
GACAGAGGGGGCAAGCGUUGCUCGGAAUCACUGGGCGUAAAGGGCGCGUAGGCGGGAUGGCAAGUCGGUCGUGAAAUCCUUCGGCUCAACCGAAGAACGUCGGCCGAUACUGCCGUUCUUGAGGGAUGCAGAGGAGAUUGGAAUUCCCGGUGUAGCGGUGAAAUGUGUAGAGAUCGGGAGGAACACCGGUGGCGAAGGCGGGUCUCUGGGCCGAUACUGACGCUGAGGAGCGAAAGCGUGGGGAGCGAACAGG